Molecule: ribosomal RNA, 253 nt
Filed under: uncultured bacterium
Lineage: Bacteria
Description: partial 16S ribosomal RNA
Rfam family: Bacterial small subunit ribosomal RNA
Source: RNAcentral
GACGGAAGGUGCAAGCGUUGCUCGGAAUCAUUGGGCGUAAAGGGUGCGUAGGCGGCCGUGCAAGUCUGGCGUGAAAGCCCCGGGCUCAGCCCGGGAAGUGCGCUCGAAACUGCGCGGCUCGAGUGCCGGAGGGGAGAGUGGAAUUCCUGGUGUAGCGGUGAAAUGCGCAGAUAUCAGGAGGAACACCGGUGGCGAAGGCGGGUCUCUGGGCCGAUAUUGACGCUGAGGAGCGAAAGCGUGGGGAGCGAACAGG